This 424-nucleotide ribosomal RNA is filed under the name uncultured bacterium. RNAcentral describes it as "bacterial SSU rRNA". It matches the Rfam family "Bacterial small subunit ribosomal RNA", at positions 358 to 773 of the family's 1533-position model. The record is from RNAcentral.
GGAAUUUUUGUCAAUGGGGGAAACCCUGAACAAGCAACGCCGCGUGAAGGACGAAGACCUUCGGGUUGUAAACUUCUGUCGGAGGGGACGAAGGCGGCCGCGGCGAAUACCCGUGGCCGUUGACGGUACCCUACGAGGAAGCCCCGGCUAACUCCGUGCCAGCAGCCGCGGUAAUACGGGGGGGGCACGCGUUGUUCGGAAUUACUGGGCGUAAAGGGCGCGCAGGCGGGCGGGCAAGUCUCUCGUGAAAGCCCACGGCUCAACCGUGGAAUUGCGGGAGAUACUGUUCGUCUUGAGUCCGGGAGAGGAGUGUGGAAUUCCCAGCGUAGCGGUGAAAUGCGUAGAUAUUGGGAGGAACACCGGUGGCGAAGGUGGCACUCUGGACCGGUACUGACGCUGAGGCGCGAAAGCUAGGGGAGCAAAC